RNAcentral lists this ribosomal RNA (93 nucleotides) under uncultured bacterium. Its description in RNAcentral is "partial 16S ribosomal RNA". It matches the Rfam family "Bacterial small subunit ribosomal RNA", at positions 1389 to 1482 of the family's 1533-position model. The record is from RNAcentral.
ACCGCCGUCACACCAUGGGAGUUUGUUGCACCAGAAGCAGGUAGCCUAACCUUCGGGAGGGCGCUUGCCACGGUGUGGCCGAUGACUGGGGUG